RNAcentral lists this ribosomal RNA (207 nucleotides) under uncultured bacterium. RNAcentral's name for it is "partial 16S ribosomal RNA". It matches the Rfam family "Bacterial small subunit ribosomal RNA", at positions 568 to 774 of the family's 1533-position model. The record is from RNAcentral.
CACGCAGGCUGAAUUAUAAGUCGGUAGUCAAAGGCGGAGGCUUAACUUCCGUUUAUCUAUCGAAACUGUAAAUCUAGAGUAUGUGAGAGGGAAGUGGAACUCCCGGUGUAGCGGUGAAAUGCGUAGAUAUCGGGAGGAACACCAGUGGCGAAGGCGGCUUCCUGGCACAAUACUGACGCUCAUGUGCGAAAGCUAGGGUAGCGAACG